RNAcentral lists this ribosomal RNA (500 nucleotides) under uncultured bacterium. Its description in RNAcentral is "bacterial SSU rRNA". It matches the Rfam family "Bacterial small subunit ribosomal RNA", at positions 29 to 518 of the family's 1533-position model. The record is from RNAcentral.
AUGAACGCUAGCGACAGGCUAACACAUGCAAGUCGAGGGGUAACAGGGUAGCAAUACCGCUGACGACCGGCGCACGGGUGAGUAACGCGUAUGCAACCUGCCUAGUAACUGGGGGAAUAGCUCCCUGAAAGGGGGAAUUAACACCGCAUAAUACUAUUGAUUCGCAUGGAUUGGUAGUUAAAUGUAGCGAUACAGGUUAUAGAUGGGCAUGCGUGACAUUAGCUAGUUGGUGAGGUAACGGCUCACCAAGGCUACGAUGUCUAGGGGUUCUGAGAGGAAGGUCCCCCGCACUGGUACUGAGACACGGACCAGACUCCUACGGGAGGCAGCAGUGAGGAAUAUUGGUCAAUGGGCGCAAGCCUGAACCAGCCAUGUCGCGUGCAGGAAGACUGCCCCCUAUGGGUUGUAAACUGCUUUUAUAGUAGAAGAAACACAUCUACGUGUAGAUGUCUGCCAGUAUACUAUGAAUAAGCAUCGGCUAACUCCGUGCCAGCAGCUGC